Molecule: ribosomal RNA, 285 nt
Filed under: Triticum aestivum (bread wheat)
Lineage: Eukaryota; Viridiplantae; Streptophyta; Magnoliopsida; Poales; Poaceae
Description: partial small subunit ribosomal RNA
Source: RNAcentral
AUGCAUGACUGCCACCACACAAAGGACGCCGGGGCGCACGGUCGUCCUUCUCCACCACCUACGCGAUGCAGCCGUGUCCGCCACCCUCGAAGUGAAGCCCUGCUCCAGCCACAACGGCGCCGCCCCAUGCUCCCUUCCCCUGCUCCACAACCAAGCCGUUUCCCGUGCUCCUCCACUAAUCCUCAAUCGUGGGAUCCAGAUGCGGCACGUACGCGCGCGGAGCCGUCCAGAUCGGGCACGGACGCGCGCGGAGGCGUCCAGAUCAGGCAAGGAUGCGCAUUGUAG